Molecule: unclassified non-coding RNA, 378 nt
Filed under: plant metagenome
Description: partial contains 5.8S ribosomal RNA, internal transcribed spacer 2, and large subunit ribosomal RNA
Rfam family: 5.8S ribosomal RNA (bases 1-105)
Source: RNAcentral
GAAAUGCGAUAAGUAAUGUGAAUUGCAGAAUUCAGUGAAUCAUCGAAUCUUUGAACGCAUCUUGCGCUCCUUGGUAUUCCUUGGAGCAUGCCUGUUUGAGUAUCAUGAAAUCUUCAAAGUAAAUCUUUUGUUAACUCAAUUGGUUUCUACUUUGGUAUUGGAGGUCUUUGCAACUUCACACCUGCUCCUCUUUGUUCAUUAGCUGGAUCUCAGUGUUAUGCUUGGUUCCACUCGGCGUGAUAAGUUAUCUAUCGCUGAGGACACUGUAAAAGGUGGCCAAGGUAAAUGCAGAUGAACCGCUUCUAAUAGUCCAUUGACUUGGACAAUACUUUUAUGAUCUGAUCUCAAAUCAGGUAGGACUACCCGCUGAACUUAAGC